RNAcentral lists this ribosomal RNA (1706 nucleotides) under Staphylococcus aureus. RNAcentral describes it as "partial 23S ribosomal RNA". It matches the Rfam family "Bacterial large subunit ribosomal RNA", at positions 513 to 2223 of the family's 2925-position model. The record is from RNAcentral. Lineage: Bacteria; Bacillati; Bacillota; Bacilli; Caryophanales; Staphylococcaceae.
GGUGAAAAGCACCCCGGAAGGGGAGUGAAAUAGAACCUGAAACCGUGUGCUUACAAGUAGUCAGAGCCCGUUAAUGGGUGAUGGCGUGCCUUUUGUAGAAUGAACCGGCGAGUUACGAUUUGAUGCAAGGUUAAGCAGUAAAUGUGGAGCCGUAGCGAAAGCGAGUCUGAAUAGGGCGUUUAGUAUUUGGUCGUAGACCCGAAACCAGGUGAUCUACCCUUGGUCAGGUUGAAGUUCAGGUAACACUGAAUGGAGGACCGAACCGACUUACGUUGAAAAGUGAGCGGAUGAACUGAGGGUAGCGGAGAAAUUCCAAUCGAACCUGGAGAUAGCUGGUUCUCUCCGAAAUAGCUUUAGGGCUAGCCUCAAGUGAUGAUUAUUGGAGGUAGAGCACUGUUUGGACGAGGGGCCCCUCUCGGGUUACCGAAUUCAGACAAACUCCGAAUGCCAAUUAAUUUAACUUGGGAGUCAGAACAUGGGUGAUAAGGUCCGUGUUCGAAAGGGAAACAGCCCAGACCACCAGCUAAGGUCCCAAAAUAUAUGUUAAGUGGAAAAGGAUGUGGCGUUGCCCAGACAACUAGGAUGUUGGCUUAGAAGCAGCCAUCAUUUAAAGAGUGCGUAAUAGCUCACUAGUCGAGUGACACUGCGCCGAAAAUGUACCGGGGCUAAACAUAUUACCGAAGCUGUGGAUUGUCCUUUGGACAAUGGUAGGAGAGCGUUCUAAGGGCGUUGAAGCAUGAUCGUAAGGACAUGUGGAGCGCUUAGAAGUGAGAAUGCCGGUGUGAGUAGCGAAAGACGGGUGAGAAUCCCGUCCACCGAUUGACUAAGGUUUCCAGAGGAAGGCUCGUCCGCUCUGGGUUAGUCGGGUCCUAAGCUGAGGCCGACAGGCGUAGGCGAUGGAUAACAGGUUGAUAUUCCUGUACCACCUAUAAUCGUUUUAAUCGAUGGGGGGACGCAGUAGGAUAGGCGAAGCGUGCGAUUGGAUUGCACGUCUAAGCAGUAAGGCUGAGUAUUAGGCAAAUCCGGUACUCAUUAAGGCUGAGCUGUGAUGGGGAGAAGACAUUGUGUCUUCGAGUCGUUGAUUUCACACUGCCGAGAAAAGCCUCUAGAUAGAAAAUAGGUGCCCGUACCGCAAACCGACACAGGUAGUCAAGAUGAGAAUUCUAAGGUGAGCGAGCGAACUCUCGUUAAGGAACUCGGCAAAAUGACCCCGUAACUUCGGGAGAAGGGGUGCUCUUUAGGGUUAACGCCCAGAAGAGCCGCAGUGAAUAGGCCCAAGCGACUGUUUAUCAAAAACACAGGUCUCUGCUAAACCGUAAGGUGAUGUAUAGGGGCUGACGCCUGCCCGGUGCUGGAAGGUUAAGAGGAGUGGUUAGCUUCUGCGAAGCUACGAAUCGAAGCCCCAGUAAACGGCGGCCGUAACUAUAACGGUCCUAAGGUAGCGAAAUUCCUUGUCGGGUAAGUUCCGACCCGCACGAAAGGCGUAACGAUUUGGGCACUGUCUCAACGAGAGACUCGGUGAAAUCAUAGUACCUGUGAAGAUGCAGGUUACCCGCGACAGGACGGAAAGACCCCGUGGAGCUUUACUGUAGCCUGAUAUUGAAAUUCGGCACAGCUUGUACAGGAUAGGUAGGAGCCUUUGAAACGUGAGCGCUAGCUUACGUGGAGGCGCUGGUGGGAUACUACCCUAGCUGUGUUGGCUUUCU